This is a small nuclear RNA of Cyprinus carpio carpio, 116 nucleotides long. Its record names the gene U5. It matches the Rfam family "U5 spliceosomal RNA". From Rfam's summary of the family: U5 RNA is a component of both types of known spliceosome. The record is from Ensembl. Lineage: Eukaryota; Metazoa; Chordata; Actinopteri; Cypriniformes; Cyprinidae.
AGCUCGAGUUUCUCUUCAUUGUCGACAUAAAUCUUUCGCCUUUUACUAAAGAUUUCCGUGAAGGGGAGCUUUACGAGUGACCUGUAUUUUUUGGGGGCUCUGCUCACAGCAGAGCU